UAUUUUGAGAAAUAAGAUAAAUUACAUUUUGGUGAUUGAGUUGGAAUAACAAUAAUAAGAAUGGGUAUGACUUAUGAUUGAAAAUAAAAAUAAUUUAUCUAAAUAAUAUUAUAAUUUGGUUAGAUUUGUAGUUAAUUUUCUAGUUGGAUUAGAAUAAAUAUUUAAAUCUAUUAGUGAUAAAUUAAGAUUUAAAUAUUAAUUAGAGUAUGUAUCUAACUACAUUAGGAUAAAUAUUUAAAUCUAUUGAAGAUAAAUGAAAUACAGAUUUAAAUAUUAACUGAAGUAGGAAUCUUAAUUGGACUAGAAUUCGCGUACGUUUUAAAGAAUGCAUUAUAAAAGCACUCUUUAGGAUACUUUUGGAGUAGAGAGUAUGGCAGCGAGAGGGAGAGAGAGUCCUGGGUGUGCCAUAUUAGAGUUAGCCAUAUGUUGAGUGCACAGGUGUACGUGGAGAGUUAUUUUCUUUGUAGGUUUAUAGAAGACGAGAGAAAGGUGAGAGAAAUUCAGAAAGAGGGCUUAAAUUGUAGUUACUCUAUAUAGGAGAGAGGUUAUGUAUAAUUUUUUCUUAUUUAAUAAAUCUUAUUUUUUUCUCAUAUUUUUUAUUUUGUUGUUUUCUUUUUUUUUGUGACUGCAUCAAUUUUCUCUGAAAAAACGGAUUUAUGGUAAAAAUCUUAUUUGACACUUCUGUUACGAAAUCUCAACAAUCAGUACGGAAUCAACAACAGUUGGUAUCGGAGUGAGUUGCGAAUUCUCAAAAUUCGGUAUCGAGGCGAAUAUCGAAUUUCUAACAAAUAAUAAGCAUCUAAAUGUUAGUAAAAUAAUAUUUUAAUAAGUUGAUUAAGUAAUUAAUUAGAAAUACUAUAUGACAUAAUGAUGAAUAAUGACGUUUGAUUAGUAAAUAAUUUUAAAAAAUAAGUCAAUAUAAAAACUAAUUAAUUAUAAUUUUAGUU
Molecule: long non-coding RNA, 947 nt
Filed under: Ananas comosus (pineapple)
Lineage: Eukaryota; Viridiplantae; Streptophyta; Magnoliopsida; Poales; Bromeliaceae
Description: long non-coding RNA (ACOM_LNC006550)
Source: RNAcentral